RNAcentral lists this ribosomal RNA (26 nucleotides) under Ogma decalineatus. RNAcentral's name for it is "partial 28S ribosomal RNA". Lineage: Eukaryota; Metazoa; Nematoda; Chromadorea; Rhabditida; Criconematidae. The record is from RNAcentral.
UUUUCGACCUGAACUCAGUCGUGGAU